Limulus polyphemus (Atlantic horseshoe crab) is the source of this 9289-nucleotide long non-coding RNA. RefSeq lists it as uncharacterized. The transcript is spliced from 2 exons. NCBI's taxonomy places the organism in Eukaryota, Metazoa, Arthropoda, Merostomata, Xiphosura, Limulidae. The record is from RefSeq and is a predicted model, not a curated record.
AGUUGUUGGACAGCAAGGUGGACUCGGUUCCUGACUCCGAUUCUCUGUUCACCCUAGAUUAUGGAAGUGGCAGCGGUUUGUACUACAAUACCAUCAUUGAUGACGAGGAUUACUACCUGUACAACUACUAUGGUUCCGGAAGUGGUGAUAUAUGGAAUGUGUUUGAUUAUUCAUCUGGUAGUGGUGACGUCGGCCUCCUUACUACAGCUGCCACUACUAUGGAAGAAGACAUCGGAGGAACUGACAAAGAAGAACCAGACAUUCAUUUCCCUGACAAAGGACGUAGUACAACAGAAGCUACAAAAACCGACGACAACUCUUCUGGAAGCCUUAUCAUUGACACAACCACCGUUAUCUCUGUCUUCGUUUUCCUGGUUACUUUGCAAUUUCUGCGACCCCACUGAGGUCAAAGAUCACCAGUAUUCGUGCCAUUUAAAGUGAAGGAAGUCAAGAGCUGUGUUAUAUUACGUUAUCAUUUGUAUGUAAAUGGCCAUUCGCACAAGAUGUGUUGGAAAGGUCAAAGGUUAUAUAUAGUCUCAUUCUGAUUAAUUUACAUCGGACAAACUGUGACUUGCCUCGCAUCUAGAAUAAAGUUUUGUGUAUUGAUUCAUAAAUCAACAGCCUUCCAGAAAAACAGGCUCAACAAAAAUAUUACUUGUUGUGCUCUGUUUAUUUUUUUUCGCUUUUUUAUGUUUAUACAAAGAGAAGACACACCUAUGUUUUCUGUUUUCGUGUGACUUCUCAUAUUUUGCUUUUGUUAUUGUUGAUUUUUAAGUGCCAUUUAUUUCCUUAUUUGUUUGCUACUCAGCAUCUAGAUCUAUGCAUUUCAUGUUUAGAAUUGCCGUCAGACGGUGCAUAAGUAACCAGUGAUUGUCUUAUUAAAAGUGAUUGAAUUUAAACCUGAUAUUGCUUUUAAAAACUUGCGUCUUAGAUUUAAAAGCAUGAGCUCUGGCCCUGUGAUCUAACCAUUUCUAAGAUAUAGUGGGAUAAACUUUAAUAUCUUGGUGCCUGUAAGUUAUAGAAGAGUAAACUAUAGCACGUUGAUGUUUUUAGCGUAUAAAAGAAUAAACUAUAAUAAGUUGAGUCAAGUCACAAACGGCCAGAAGAUGGCUUUCAUGUUGUGAUACUUUAUUCUGUAUUUGUUAUUAGAUAAUAUUUGUUCAAAAUUAUUAUGAGUAUGGCUGUUAAGGUGAAAGCACUGGAUAGAUGCCAACUGAAAAGAAGCCAGGACGCAUGCUUGACCAGGCGACUAUUACUAUUGGCUUGUGAUAAACAUGUACAGUGGUGAAUAUUGAUUAAUUAAAAUUCAUACUUUGGAUGUUUACUUUGUUAGCAAAAACAAAUGUUGACUAUAUAAAAGUUAAAACUGGCAAAAAUGUGAGUGAAGUGUUUAUUUAUAAUCUACAAGGUUGUUUCAUCAAAUAAUACUGUUUUGAUAAAAACAGAUGACUGCGCUGUUUGGCAGAUCAUAAUAAAGGCUUAACUGACAUUAGGCUUACACUUGUAGACAUUAAAAAGUGUCGCAUUUCUGUGAUCACCCAUACGGAAUUAUUUCCUUUAAUUUAGGGUGAAAGUGGCCCUUUUUGUGGCCGACUAUUAAGAGUAACAGGCUGCUUAGCUUUCUAUUAGGAGACUGUAUUUUUAUACACUUACUGAAAAAUAUUUGAUAACAAUGAUGAUAAUUGAAGUCUGUUUUAUUUCAAAUAGGCAAUGUAGAGCAAAUUUGUUUGAUAUUUUGUUAUCUGAAUUUAAACUGAUAUGAUGAUUAUGUUUCAAACGAUUAUGAAAACGCAAAUGUAGAUCAUAUUAAUAACCUAUUCCUGUAAGUAAGUCCACCACAAUAACUGACAUUUCAUACAACACGUACAUUUCAAGUUAUAUAACUAUUAACGUCCAAUUAUGGACUAAUAAAGCUUGUAAUCCAUUUAUAAUACUGUCUACGACAUAUCGAAGCUUUCAUUAACCUCAUUUUAUAAUAUGUUAGAAAUCUAAGGAAGUAUAAAGGAUAUCAAAAAUAAAUCAUAUACUUUGCCAUUAUGUUCUUUUUUUUUCUAGCCACAUCAUCUAUCCAUCCAGUUGUUUUAAAAUAUUUCGACAACAUUUCUGAUUAAAUAUUUUUAAAACAUAAAAUAUAUGUUAGUAAUUUUAAACAGAAAAGUUUACUAGAACGAAGUUUUCUCCGAGAAAGUGUACAGAUAUUCUUUUUCGUACUUAUCUAGUUUACUUCACGUAUUAACACCUUUACUCCUUACACACACAAACACAAAUUAGCUGCUUCAAGAAGUAUUGAAAUAUAUCUGUGUUGUGUUUUUGUGGAUAUAAAGAUUAAUUUGUGAUGAAAGAAACGGAGAAUAUAGCAAUAUAUAUAAAGAAUUGCACAAAAACACUUGUGAGGAACGGAUCCAUGAAAAAAUCGUGUAUGAUAUAACAUUACACACAUAUACAAACAAAAAAAAUAAAAAACACUUCUUUCACGAAACAAUUCUUUAAAAUAUGCAAGUUAUUAUUUUUAAGUUUAUAAAUUGUUUCGUGUAAGAAGUCUGCCUAGCAAUAAAAUUGGUAUGGAAGUUAGUAUUCUAAAUUCUAAAUCGACAAGGAUUUCGAUGACAAAACCUCAUCCAUUUCUUUAUUUGCUAUGUCACUAGAUGGCACUGCAAACGUAUUAAUAUUUCAAGGUGUGAAUAAAUCGAAUAACAACGUGCACAAUCGAACUUCGGUACACGUGUUCUUCCAUUUCACGUGCCUUCCGAAGUCGCUGUAGCAGGGUGACAUCUUACAGCUAAUGCUUUUAGUAUUGAAAAUUGUAAGUUCAAAACAUUUCAACUGACAUAGCCAUAAAUCUUCUACUUUGUUAAAUUACUUAUUUAAAGUUGAACCAUUUGUUUUUUUUAUCGAUUUAAAUAUUGUACGAAUUGUUGACAAAAUAGUGAUUUUGUAUUAUUUUCAAUGAAAGGUGCAAUGCUACUUGAAACACUAUUCGUCGAAUGAUUAUAGGUAUAUUAAAAUAUGCAAAGGCUUUGGGUUCUGCCACAUUUUAUUUUUAAACUUUUUUUCUUUUAGUAAAAUAGCCAAGUUUUUGAAUAUUUCAAUUAUUUUUGUCGGGUUUAGACUUCAUCUACAACAUUUAUUUUCAAUAAACUAACUAUAUCAAAAACAUCUAAGAUACUCUGUGUCUAUCAGUCAAGUGUAAUGGCUUAAAAGCUUAAUCGUAUUUACUUGGAAAUAAGUCUCAGAACAUCAAUUCGAUGAUUCUUUAAGUUUAUUAUCUUUGUUUAAAUUUGUGCUGUGUUCUUAAAGUCAAACUUGAUUUGAUUCCGAAAUUCAGUAACAUGAGUUAAAUGGAUGAAAAGUCUUGACAUAUAUUCAGUGCUUUAAGAUUCGUGGUUUCGCUGCUAUCGGUUUUAAACCAUGAUCUUCCGGAUUUGUGUAUCCAGAGGGCUGAAUAACGGAAGUAAUCCGUAAAAACAUUAAUAAAAGUUGGAUGGUAUAUGACGUUAUAUAUAUAUAAUAUAUUUAAAAAGUAUAAGAACAACGUCAUAUACCAUCCAACUGCAUUAUCUCCAGUAAAACUUUAGAAAAAUAUCCGAAGAGGCAUGCCCCCCUCAGUGUGACUUUGCCUUCCAUUUGCCUCCAGAAGUAGCGACCCUCUUUCAUAGAUUUCUACUUACGUCCAUUUGUAUGACUUGACCAACCUUUCUGCAUGUCGCGUCCAAGAGGUUUAACUGUAUACCAUGAUAAAACAGUGUUGAAGCAAUUAUUGAUUAGACUAAAUCAAGUCCUCUGCUGGACAGAUAAAAAAUAAGUGGAUUUCAUCGAUUAGCUUCAAAAUUAACUGAAACAUAAUAUGGCUCUUUUGUUGAAUAUUUUGUUAAGUAAGUAUUAAAGAAACUGUGUCUACUAUAUGAAACCACGUCCCCUCAAUGGGGAUAAAUUAACAGAGUAACGCAAUGGUAUCUCUUAGUAACAAAAUUCUCUUAGUUACUGAAGCUUUCUUUGUAACAUAUCUCCGGUGGUCACCGUUGUCCCUUAGUCACUGUAGUCCCUUAGUAACUAAUCUCACUUGGUUACUGUUGUUUAUUAGUAGCGAAUCUCACUUGGUUAUUGAUGUUUCUUCGUUACUAAUCUCACGUGAUUGUUGUUGUUUCUUAGUUACUAAUCUCACGUGAUUGUUGUUGUUUCUUGGUUACUAAUAUCACGUGAUUAUUGUUGUUUCUUGGUUACUAAUCUCACGUGAUUAUUGUUGUUUCUUAGUUACUAAUCUCACUUGGUUACUGUUGUUUCUUGGUUACUAAUCUUAUUUGAUUACUAUUGUUUCAUAGUAGCAAGUCUCAAUUAAUCACUGGUGCUUUUUAUAUGCUUACAGUACAUUAAAAGAUUAGUUAUUCUUUUCGGAAUUAUCGUUUGGCAAUAUUUUGUUCUUGUUUUCUGAUUUAUUUGUAGUUAAGCGCAAAGCUGCACAAUGGGCUAUCUGUGCUCUACCCACCACGAGUAUCAAAAUCCGGUUUCUAGCGUUGCAAGUCCGCAGAAAUGUCGCUGUAAUGUAAUUGAUUGAAUAUAACUGAAUUAAUACGGCUCUUCUAUAUGUGUUAUAGAAAGUAACAGAUCUUGUUAGAUUUAGAUUUGUUUAGUUUAUUGCAUCUUUCUGAUGUAUUCUGUCAAAAAUAUGAAGUUUCUGAAACACCUUUUUCGUUUUUUAUUAGUAAAUAAACUAAAGCAUUUCAUUAAAGGCAGAAAGUGUGUGUUCUGAAGUUGUUUUACUGUUUGGAUUUUACAAAACAGCUAUGUCGAGAUAAUUGUAGAAAAUGUUCAGAUUCUCUCUUUUAAGAUUUGUUUUUAUUUAACACCGUCCACCAGGUGUGCUAUAUGAUGAGGAUUUUUUUGUACCUAUAAUGUCAUAUUAGUUAUGAUUGUUAGAAUAAUUUGAUAGUACAGUUACGACGAACAUAAGCUAAUAGUUUUUUAUGACAAUUUGUAUAAAUUUACUUUCCAUUAUUACUUUUUUUUUACAUUUUGAAUAUCACAAAGUCAAAAACGCAAUCAAGGAAGGAUAAUAUAAAUUUAGGACAAAGAGCAACGAAACUUGCAUUUACUCGUUUAAAUUCCGCACAGCGUGUCGUACUUGAUAAAGGGAUUUUCUUUACAUUCAAAAUUCUGAUAUCAUGCUUUGCGUUUUGUUUUACGUACGAGUUAUAUCAUUGAAAGUUCGCUGCGUGGAUGUUUAAUGCAUAUUUUUUCAGUUGUGAUUUUAUGUAUUAUUAUUGUUGUUAAAAUAUCAACUUGAAUAUAACCUGCCCUAUAAACUGUCUUUACUUGUAGUUUUGCCAGAGGUCCGAGAUGUGUGUAUAGUAAUAGAAACUUUGAUAUUCCAGUAUUGUUAUAGUUGUAUCCAGUUCAACUGUUCCCUCGUCUAAUACUUUGUUUGCUUAUCACCAUCAUUUCAUACUUUUCGCUGUUAGAAGUAAGAUGUUUAAUACUUAUACAAUGACCUAUUUUCAAGUGUUUUGUGCGGUAAAAAUUUCCUUUGGAAGAGAUAAGUGAAUAAAAGACAGUUCAUAAUUUAUCUUACACAUUUUUGGUCUAGAACUAUCAAUUGUUCUCGCUAAAAAAAAAGAAACUGUGGUUAAGUUUCAAAUUUUACAGUAUGUUGCUUAACCUGUGAUAAUGGUCUUAGGAAAUCAAAAGUGUUUAGCGAACCAAAACAAAAGAGAGCGAGAUAAAGGAAAGGAUGGCUAAGGCAGUUAAUAAAUUGAUUGGUUAGAGAACGUGUGAUAUUUAUAGGUGAGGUUUUAGACGGCUAAUAAAUUGAUUGGUUAGAGAACGUGUGAUAUUUAUAGGUGAGGUUUUAGACGGCGACUUCCAAAGAAAAAAAAGCUGUUGUUGGGAACUAAUAUAUUGAAUACUAAUCGGUAUUUACUUACUGGAUGCUAUUAUUGAUUAACUUGUAUCGAGCUUUUAUAUAAUAGCUCUCUAUUUUUAUAUUGUUUAUUAGCACUAGCUUACUAACCCAGCCAUUCCGUUUAUUAUAGAAUCACUAAUGUAUAUAACAACGUGUUGUGUAGCAUGUACAGCAUUAGGUUGUAGAGCAGAGUGAAAUAUCCUGUGAUUCUUCUAGUCCUGCACACAUUAAGUGAGCAGAAGACUGAGAAUGUACAUAAAGUGUUUGUUUGUGCUAAACGUAGUAUGAGUAGUGGGGAAACGUUAUUCCAAUUCAUGUAACCAAUGCCUGAUUACCUAUCCACGUUCACUAAAAUUACUAGUCCAUUUUAUUUUUCUUGUGCGUGCGUGAAUGUUUCGUGUUUUUUUUUUACUUCCAAAUCUGCAGUAUUGAGUGAAAACACCUUAUUUUAUAAGUAAACGAAGUGUAAAACAACAACAACAACAACAACAAAGGAAGAAGCAUAUUUUUGAAUAUGAUCUGACAAGUUCAGUUGCCAUGCCUUUACGUACACGAAGAAUUUAAGGUAACGCUAACUGUGUGAGUAAAUUUGAAAUGAGCACGAAACGCAGAACUUCUAGCUAAGCCUAACUUUGAAUAUUUCUCUAUUCCUUUCUUUUGUAACGAAUGAAUAAUUACCUUAGAUUUACAGAUUCUUAUUGAUUAUGUGUGUAAUUGUUUAGCACAGUGCUGAAAAUAAAAUCAAUACGUUACUAUAUUCUGUUUACUAAAUUAUUUUUGUAAUUGAAAUCACGAACAAGAACUAUACAAAACAGAAAUGCAAAAAAAUAUUUAUAUCAUCCCUGUUUUAGUAUUCGUUUGUGUGUUUACAAAUUUCCAUUAAUAAGGUGUAAUUAGCAGUAUAUAUAUUAGAAUUUGAUACUUUCACUCUUUAUCCAAGUAACAAUUUUUUGUCUUGUCAUAAGUAUAUCAUUAUCUAGCCUAAUAUAUAACCAGUUCGAGCUGAUUACGUCGUUUUGUACGUGGUGCCGAUUUUGUUGAAGCAAGUAUUGUUCCGUUUUUAAUGUAAAGAUGAAAACUUUUCACAUGUUUAGGUACUGAAGUCGGGCUGUUUAUCUGUGAUGGUUAGAAGGGAAUCGAAGUACAUGUUUGCAUCCGUCUUUACCUUACACUCCUCGUGAUAUCAUAGCCCAUACUUGAUAUAAAGAUGUUUUUUUAACAAUCGAAAUGACGUCAGUUAGAAAGUGGGCCGAGCAUGUUCUAGUUGUUAACGUGUCGGGCUGCGGAUAAAAGGAUCCAGAGUUCGAUGCAUGAUUCCUCAUAACACGUCACAUUCAGCUUUGGAUACCUUAUAAAGGUCACAGUCGACCUUCUUAUUCGGUUAAGAACUGGACAUGGUCCACUUGGCGAUGGAUGUUGUUGGGCAAUAGCUCAAAAUUAAGGACAGCUAAUGUGUGCAUAAGGUGCUUUUCACCAUUUGAUGUUAGUGUUUAUAUUGUGUGUCUUCGCAUGUAUUGUAAAAUAUGUUCCAUUCACCCACUCUCGUUUCUUUUCUUUUUCUUUUUUUUAUUUUGCUUUACCACGUACAAAAAUACGUGCUGGCCUAUUUCUGUCAGAUCUUACUCCCACGCUGUUCAACAUAACAUCUUUGAACAACACGUUAUAUCACAAAACGAAGACGCACAUUCAAGUCGUAAAACUGGCGGUAAAAUGAGGAUCCAGAUAUAUAUUAUAUCAAACAGUAAAUAUACAUAUUUAGAGGAAUAUUCUACGUUACUAACUAUACUAUAAUAUAAAACGGCUUUUGUUUCUGCGUGUCGAAUAUACUUCCAUUUCACGACCGUGAUUAUCAUGAAAUUUUCAUGUUUUUUGUGUGUACCCUAGAUGGAUUUGAAAAUUUCUUACUCUAUUCAUUUUACUGUUUUUGCGAGUUUGACAGUCACUUAACCUCCCCUCCCCCUUCCUUACUCUAUUCAUUUUACUCUUUUUGCGAGUUUGACAGUCACUUAACCUCCCCCCCCCUCUCUGCUAUAACUUUGCUGCUAAUACUUUCCGAACUCUGAUUGUCAUCACACUUCCAUCUGUUCUUGUGUGCAUAAGCUAGAAGGGAACUGUCCAAAGAACUCAACUUUCAAGACUCGUUCAAUAUCCUUUAAGGAAAAGCUCUAACCCGAUUUUCUAUUAAAGAAAAACCUUCCUAAACAUUUCCACGUAUCCUGUAAAGUCGAAAACGUGAUAUCGGUUUGUUUUAUCUGACAUUUUGUUUCAGAAUACAGUGUAUCGGCAAAUAAGAUGUGUUGACACGAAAUUAGAAUCGUCGCCCAUUUUUCUAUUAGAACCAUAAAAUCAAAACUAAACAUUUUGCGGUAUUCAAAGUUUCGGCGCUAAAUCUUCUAAUAGUAUUUUUCACUUGCUAAUAAUUAGAAGCCUACCUUAUAAGUUAGUCAAAAACAAAAUGUUUUCACUUCGCAACUUCAUUAACGAACAUACGGAUCUUUCUAAAUACAAGCAAAUUGUGAUUUACAAUAAAUUCAUCAAUACUGAACCAACUUGUGUAGCAGUAACCAAAUCAGUUUGUUUGUUUAAGAAAGGAAUUAAAAUAAUUCUGUUUACAGUUUAUUAUUUUCAGUCAACAUGUACUUACUAUAUUGUCAGUUUAUAGCAGUUGGUUAUAUUCCCAAGUAAAAGUGACUAAGUGCCAAUGUAAGCAACUUCAUUCCUUACACACACUGUCCAUUUUGACCAGAGCGCUAGUCUAGUCAACAUUUGGAUUAACAAUACAUUGAAUAUUACUUCAACAUAAUAUUCUACAAGCUGACUGUGAACAAAGUGAUCUUUGAAUAAAACUGAGCGGUGUUGUAACCUCAUUUUAUGACAUCAGCUUUAGAGUAGAAGCACCUUGUGGUCAAGAGGUAUUUAAAGUUUAUGCUGUAAUACAGGUUAUUGUGGACAAUGUAUUAUCAUGACUAAAAAUUGUCAUAUUCAUUUCGAACUAAUGUGUCUGUAAACAUUCAAAUACAAAUGACUAUAAGAAAAAUAUAUUAUUGGUAACAUAUUGCACAUGUGUUAAGCCAUGUUUCACUUGAAUUUAAGUAUAUAGAUUAGUUUCAUCAAGGUUUAUUAUAAAAAACUUAUGACCGACUUUGUGUAGUACAUAUACAUAUAUUAAGUACAUUUGCUAAUGGGUACAGGCCUACUUUUUAUUAUAGUAAGAGUACAAUAAUAUUUUCUAAGCAUUUCAUAUUGAAUUAAACUAAUACUUUAUAACAGAAUGUAUAUAGAAUUGUUAACACUUCCAAGGAGCAGAAAUUUGUUCAAACUUACACGUAAUUUGUUUGAUGUUUGCUUUUGUUAUCUGUCAGUCGCUUCUAGCAAAAACGGUUUAACUAAAAA